This 4480-nucleotide long non-coding RNA is filed under the name Malus domestica (apple). RNAcentral's name for it is "long non-coding RNA (MDOM_LNC007548)". The record is from RNAcentral. Lineage: Eukaryota; Viridiplantae; Streptophyta; Magnoliopsida; Rosales; Rosaceae.
UCACAACUGAAGGUAAUCAANUCAUUGUCGGCAGCCGGUGGAUGGAUGAAUAGUACAAAUUACGCGCUUUCUGACAAAGCUGCCCGUAAUUUCCGCAAAGCAGAUUCCUCAUUGAUAUCUGGAAUCGGCGCUUCGAGCUCUGAGCAUCGUCGAUUGUAGAGGUAGCAUGUAACGUGCGGAUAAAUCUGGAAAAAGAAGAUUUGCCCGUGGGUUGAAGCCCAGCUUUUGAGAAAGCUAGCGUGUCUUUGACUGUUGAAUUUCCCUAUUCGAUUUCUGAAUUGGUGCUUCGACAAACUGCCCGAGAUUUCCGCAAAGCUGCAAGUUGCAUGUGACGAGUGACGACACGUCUGGACAAAUUGAUCUUUUGAAAUCCGGUGUUCGGCUCGUGGUUUUUGAGCAAGCCCAGCCUUUAAGAAAUGAAAUGCCUCUUUUGAGAAAAGAAUCCGGCUUUUGAGAAAGGAAACUCCUCUUUUGAGAAAAGAAUCAGGCGUUUGAGAACGGAGCCCCGACUCUUCGAUUUGCGAGAGGACGCCUCUUCAAUUUUUGAGGAGCGCCUCUUUGAUUUCUUUCUUUUUAUAGAGGCGCUAAUUUUGUUACAACACACUUGAGCUCCCUCCUGUAAACACUCCCUUCUUACACUUGUUUAAUCUUGAUCAGUCCUCCUCUCUUCUUUCUUCACCACCUCUGAAAAUGUCUGGCCCUUCCGAUCGUCGUUUUGACUUGAACCUUGGUGAAGAGGCAGCUCCGCUUCACCAGACAAAUAUGGCGCCCAUCCUUCAUAUCCCCUACCGGUCCCCUUACCGUGGGGGAUUCGGUGAUGAAAAAUGAUAUGACGCUGCGGUGGUGGCCGGAACCUUGUCACCCCCAGAGAUAACAGACUGCUCGCUAGACGGUCUGAUGAAUUGGCGGUUAAGGAGUCUCUGGCUCUUAGCGUGCAGUGUGCUGGUUCGGUGUCCAACAUGGCCCAACGCCUAUAUGCUCGAACCCGUCACGUUGAAUCGUUGGUGGCUGAAAUACAGAGUCUCAAAGAGGAGAUUAGAGGACUCAAGCAUGAAAAUAAACAAUUGCACAAGCUUGCACACAGUUAUGCCACAAACAUGAAGAGGAAAAUUGACCAGCUGCAGGAAAAUGAUGGUCAGAUUUUACUUGAUCACCGGAGGUUUGUGGGUUUGUUCCAACCGCAUCUGCCUUCGUCUUCUGGGGCGGCACCGCGUAGUGAAGCUCCAACUGAUCAAUCUCCGAUACCUCCUCCUUCCGUGGCCCCGCCGACUGCUGAAGCACCGCCGACUACUGAAGCACCACCUGACCAAUGAAGCACCACCUGACCAAUGAAUGCUAUUAGCUUACACAUCAUUGUAAAAUAUUUUUACUUUUAUGUUUUUUUUUUAAGUGUUUUUUUUUUUAUUUUAUUUUAUUUUUAAAUAUGUAAAUUAAUGUAAAAAGACUUUGUUUAACCUUUCCCCACACUUAAACUACAAACUCACAGAAAUCAACCAAAUAACACAACCAACUAAACAAAACAAAAUGAAAGCAGUAAAGAUAAGGGUGUAAGAAUGCAAAUCUGAUUUGGUUAGCGAUUCCAAAGUCUCCCUUCGUUGAAUGCUUGGGUGCCUCCCAAGAAGCGCUUGAUUUAACGUCUUUAGCCGGACAAAUCUUUCCUUUAAAUUCCCCUCGGCUCCAAAGCAUGGAAUUUAUCUUUUAAUGGGAGGUGAUACUUGAAAUGAUUCGGCAAUGGUUUAAAUUCAAGAGUGGGUGCCUGAAUCAUCAAAAUCAGAAAAAUGUUAGUAUAAAUAAAAAUUAAAAUUGGAGAAGAUGGCUUACUUUCUUUUUCCGACACAAACUCAAUGACAAACACCACAUCUUUGAACAUUUCUGGGAUUUUGAACUUGGCCAGGUUUACUAUGAUGGUUGUGGCUUGUCCCGGGUCAUCAAACUCAACUGCUUUGGGCUUGAUUGUCUCAUGCACAGCCCCUUGGAUGAAUUCUUGAUCUGCUUCAACCACUUCAUUCUCUUGAAUCGUUCUUCUUGGGAAACAAAGGCCUUUGAAAUAUUCAACAUGAUCUAGAACUUGCUUUGUUGCACCAAGAAUUGGAAUAUCCUUUUGUACCUUUGGAAGAGCUUCCACAAUGUCUUUUUCACUCUCUUCUUGCUUGGGAAUAAAAAACCUGCUAGGAAAAAGGACAUUGGGAGGAAUAUCAUUAGAAUGAAGUGAAUUUAGAACUCCCUUACCUGAGUUGGAUGACAUAGGGAUUUGAGGAGCUUGCAGUAAGAAUUCUUCUAAACUGCCCAGGUCGUCCUCCUCCUCUUCUGCUUGCAGCAGCAAUUCAUCCAUGUUCGGGCUGUGUUUGGAUGGUUCUGGGACAGCUUCAUCCUUCAUGUCACCUUCCAAAGUGAUAGCAUCGUGGAUUUCAAAAUCUUCCUUCGAAUUUUCAACAGUUGAGCUGGAGAGUUCACUUUGCUCUUGAAUUUGUACCAUGAAUUCCAUAAUCUCUCCCAUUUGACUCAUCAAUUUAUCCAACUUCUUGUCUUGAUUUUGUGAGCCCUGCACCAAAGAAUUUAAUUCAUCAAAAAUUUGAUUGUAAUCUAUUGACGAAUCUGAGUUUGAUUGAGCAUAUUGCAUAGGUUUUGAAUAGAAAUCCUCAUCUUGCUGCCAAUAUCCCUCUUGUUGGAAUUGUUGAGGUUCCCCCCACAUAUAAUUUGAAUGAUCUCUCCAAGCCGAAUUGUAAGCGUUGGAAAACAUGUUGUUACUUGGUUGAUCAUAGCCUUGAUAACCCCAAGCAUCUUCAUUGGCAGAAAAUUGAGGACUUUGAUAUCCUUGCCCAUAGGGCACAUCAAGUGUAGGGACACUUGGCAUUGUGGUCCGUUCGGCAUACUGCGACAUUUGAGAAGUAAGAUUUGCCAAUUGAGCUUGAAUGCUAGCAAAAUCCAUGUCUUACUUCUCUAGUACCUAAAAUCAAAGAAAGAAAACUAAAUCAAAUAUCAAAAGUAACACAAAAUAAGGAAAACAAAACUAAGUCAGAAACUAAAACAAAACCAAACUAAACAAAAAGAAAAGAACCAAGGGAUUAGCAAAGUUGCUAAUCCCCGGCAACGGCGCCAAAAUUUGGUGUGAGAAUUACUUGACACACAAAUUAAACCCUCUUUUUGACAAUUGUAGUAUAGAUGUAAGUAGGGUAUCGUUCUAGGCCGGGGAUUAGGAGGGAUUGCUAAUCUAUUCUAAAUUAAUUUAAAAAUAUUAAACAAGACUCAAGGACACAAAACUAGGCUAAAAACUCUAAUAACUCGAAACACACUUAGAAUGACUCAAAAUAAUGAAAACAAUCAAUUUAGACACUAGGAACUGAAAUGGACGGAAAUUGAAUUAAAAGACUAACAACAAUGAAAACUAACUAAAUAAUAUAAUUUUAAUAAUGGGGGGGUUUGGUUUUGACGAGAAGUAAAUUAAACUUAAAUAAAUUACAGAAUUGACAAAAGCAUGAAUUAAGGUGAAAUGAUAAGUGACGGAUUAGCUAGAGGGUUCUUCUCCACACAUGACACAUAUGCAACCUAAAUUGAUUUUCAGUUGUUCUUUCAAUAAAAUUGUAAAUCUCAACGCCCCAAAUUAACCGUGAAUUGCACUAAUUAACCCUCAGUUUUUCCACAAUGUUAUUGGGUUGGAUGAUUGCAUACGACAACCCAAAACAUUCCCUACAAGUUCCCUACAUGAAUUGCAUAAUAGAGACACAAGCAAGAAUCAUUAAGUUCUAUGAAAAACAUAAGCAUUGACGAGGCACUCGUUACUAUGAUUUUGCAUGAAACUUUAUGCCAAGAAUUUACUUAACGUGAUUGUGACUAGCAACCUUCACUACUUGUGAAUAUAAGUUCAUAACGAUUAGGUGAAGUUCACUUAUAUUCUAGCAUCAAAUUCAUGCAUGUAAAUUAAGUAUGCAUCCUUAAUCGACAUACAAAAAUAAGUUAUAAAUCAAGCAGUUAAGCAAAUUAAAUCACAACUCAGAAAUCACAACUGAAGGUAAUCAAUUCAUAUUACAAAUAUAUUCAUGGUUUUGAAUUAACCUCUAGCCAAAAUAAAUUUAGUUACACAUUAUUAAAACAGAAAUAAAAUAUAAGUUUGGAAAGAUUUAACCGAAAGAGGAAAAGAUCUCUGUCUGCGUUUCCACUGAGCUGCCCUCUCGCUGCCCAAAGGCAACGCCUAUCUGCACGUCUCUGCUCCCCGUUCCUUCUCGCUACGCCUUGCCACCUCUUCUUUUAUUCUGCUGUCAGUCAAGGCUGCAAGACAGCACCCCGUGCUCACCUCUCGGUUUCUAUCCUUCCUCUGACUGUCUCGCUGACAGUCUCCUGGCGCACUGUCUCCCCAAUUCUUUUCUUCACGACCUUCUUAUAUUUUCCUUUCCGUCAGUCUACCCGCGUCAACCCCUCUCACUGCCCAAAGGCAGCACCUCGUCUGGACCCUUUCUCUAUCCCAUACUGACUUGCCUCGUCU